AGCAUUUGCUGUACCGCGUUGACGGAGCGAAGCGACGUCAAACCGAUAAAACAGCAGUGUAAAGUGAGCCGCAGGGCGCUUUGCGCGACAGCGCAAAGGCAGGCGGUUUCGCGUAGCGAAAGCGAAUGCUUUGGGGUGGGGUGACUGCGUACCUUUUGUAUAAUGGGUCAGCGACUUAUAUUCUGUAGCAAGGUUAACCGAAUAGGGGAGCCGGAGGGAAACCGAGUCUUAAUUGGGCGUUAAGUUGCAGGGUAUAGACCCGAAACCCGGUGAUCUAGCCAUGGGCAGGUUGAAGGUUGGGUAACACUAACUGGAGGACCGAACCGACUAAUGUUGAAAAAUUAGCGGAUGACCUGUGGCUGGGGGUGAAAGGCCAAUCAAACCGGGAGAUAGCUGGUUCUCCCCGAAAGCUAUUUAGGUAGCGCCUCGUGAAUUCAUCUCCGGGGGUAGAGCACUGUUUCGGCUAGGGGGCCAUCCCGGCUUACCAACCCGAUGCAAACUGCGAAUACCGGAGAAUGUUAUCACGGGAGACACACGGCGGGUGCUAACGUCCGUCGUGAAGAGGGAAACAACCCAGACCGCCAGCUAAGGUCCCAAAGUCAUGGUUAAGUGGGAAACGAUGUGGGAAGGCCCAGACAGCCAGGAUGUUGGCUUAGAAGCAGCCAUCAUUUAAAGAAAGCGUAAUAGCUCACUGGUCGAGUCGGCCUGCGCGGAAGAUGUAACGGGGCUAAACCAUGCACCGAAGCUGCGGCAGCGACACUGUGUGUUGUUGGGUA
Molecule: ribosomal RNA, 776 nt
Filed under: Salmonella enterica
Lineage: Bacteria; Pseudomonadati; Pseudomonadota; Gammaproteobacteria; Enterobacterales; Enterobacteriaceae
Also listed under: 1 other name
Description: partial 23S ribosomal RNA
Rfam family: Bacterial large subunit ribosomal RNA
Source: RNAcentral